GUGUCUGUUGCACAAUGGUAGUGUGUCUGACUUCAAGUCAGAAGGUUGUGUGUUCGAAACACACCAGAUUCA
Molecule: non-coding RNA, 72 nt
Organism: Papaver somniferum (opium poppy)
Lineage: Eukaryota; Viridiplantae; Streptophyta; Magnoliopsida; Ranunculales; Papaveraceae
Source: the annotation of a RefSeq genome assembly